GAUGAACGCUGGCGGCGUGCCUAAUACAUGCAAGUCGAGCGAACGGACGAGAAGCUUGCUUCUCUGAUGUUAGCGGCGGACGGGUGAGUAACACGUGGAUAACCUACCUAUAAGACUGGGAUAACUUCGGGAAACCGUAGCUAAUACCGGAUAAUAUUUUGAACCGCAUGGUUCAAAAGUGAAAGACGGUCUUGCUGUCACUUAUAGAUGGAUCCGCGCUGCAUUAGCUAGUUGGUAAGGUAACGGCUUACCAAGGCAACGAUGCAUAGCCGACCUGAGAGGGGGAUCGGCCACCCUGGACCUGGGAACCGGCCCAGCCCCCUAGGGGGGGCAGCAGGAGGGAAUCUUCCGCAAGGGGGGAAAGCCGGACGGAGCAACGCCGGGGGGGUGAUGAAGUUCUUCGGAUCGUAAAACCUUUUUAUUGGGAAAAAAAAAAUUUGUAAGUAACUGUGCACAUCUGGACGGUACCAAAUCAGAAAGCCCCGGCUAACUACGU
Molecule: ribosomal RNA, 496 nt
Filed under: uncultured bacterium
Lineage: Bacteria
Description: partial 16S ribosomal RNA
Rfam family: Bacterial small subunit ribosomal RNA
Source: RNAcentral